GCGGGAAUAGCUCAGUUGGUAGAGCACGACCUUGCCAAGGUCGGGGUCGCGAGUUCGAGUGAGUUCUCAGGAGCUUACUGAA
RNAcentral lists this transfer RNA (82 nucleotides) under Salmonella enterica. RNAcentral describes it as "tRNA-Gly". Lineage: Bacteria; Pseudomonadati; Pseudomonadota; Gammaproteobacteria; Enterobacterales; Enterobacteriaceae. The record is from RNAcentral.